This is a long non-coding RNA of Carassius carassius (crucian carp), 345 nucleotides long. RefSeq lists it as uncharacterized. Lineage: Eukaryota; Metazoa; Chordata; Actinopteri; Cypriniformes; Cyprinidae. The transcript has 2 exons. The record is from RefSeq and is a predicted model, not a curated record.
ACAAACCCUUGGUCGUGAUCCUGGCUCUGGCUGAUUUGAGAUUGCUGGUGGGCGUGUUCUCCAGUGAUCCUGUCUUCUCACCUGCAGUUCAUCAUGUCAAUCAAGCACACCUGUUCCAUAUCAAGCAAUCUACUCUCUUAUAAAAGCCAGACCAACUUUCCAGUCCCCACCGGAUCGUUGUACCAUUCAUGUUCCAGCCUGAACCUUGGAAUCAAAUCUCUCACCAGAACCUCAGGACACAGAUCACUGGAACUGGAUCACCAACCCUCUGUUCUGCGAGAACAUACCCUGCUCAGCAUACAUCUCUGUUUAAACUUGUGGUUAAUAAAUUUACCUUUAAUUGAA